RNAcentral lists this ribosomal RNA (335 nucleotides) under uncultured bacterium. Its description in RNAcentral is "bacterial SSU rRNA". It matches the Rfam family "Bacterial small subunit ribosomal RNA", at positions 335 to 672 of the family's 1533-position model. The record is from RNAcentral.
ACUCCUACGGGAGGCAGCAGUGAGGAAUAUUGCGCAAUGGGCGAAAGCCUGACGCAGCGACGCCGCGUGGGGGAUGAAGGUUUUCGGAUUGUAAACCCCUUUUGUGAGGAAAGAUAAGGCAGGUAACUGCCUAGACGGUACCUCAAGAAAAAGCCACGGCUAACUUCGUGCCAGCAGCCGCGGUAAUACGAAGGUGGCGAGCGUUGUUCGGAUUUACUGGGCGUAAAGAGCACGUAGGCGGUUGGGUAAGCCUCCUGGGAAAUCUCCCGGCUUAACCGGGAAAGUUCGGGGGGAACUACUCAGCUAGAGGGCGGGAGAGGAGCGCGGAAUUCCCG